GAGCCCCCAGGACACCUCAGCAGGCAGUCGGGAGUCCCUGCUCCGUUUUGCAGUUGGAGAAACCGAGGUCCACUUGGUGCCUCCGUUUCCCCCCCACCUUUCACUAUAAAGGUGAGACCCCCUCCAUGUACCCAGAUGAGGCAGAGCAGCCGCACAGGGCUGUCUCCGGAGAGAGGCUCAGCCUGAGGGCCCUGCUUCUCAGCCCGCUCUGGGCCUCGCAGAGCUUGGCACUUCUCUUGAUCCUUUCCCGGAAUCUGCCAAAUCCCCCUUCCUCCCUCCCUCCCUCCUUCCCAGCCCCUCCUCCCCGGCAGCCCUCUGCCUCCCGUGACUCCCACUGGCUGCAUAUCCAGCUGAUCCAUGGCCAAGAUAAUCAGAUUAUCGUGGUUCCAGAAUAAUCUAUUCCAUAUGGCUUGCCAAACCAGUGGCUCCGGGAGCCAGAGGUGUGAGGAGAGGGGCUGACCCCCACGGGCGGGGGCUCCCUGGGAGCCUUGGGCUGUAGCUGGGAGGCUGCAGGGGAGGGGGCAGGUGCAGGAAGUGGUGGGGUCCUCAGUGCUGGGCGCUCCGACCACUCUGGGCUCCGGAUGGCUGCAGCCCCCUCUCCAGCCCAAGCUCCUCCUCCUCUAUCUGCGACCCAGUGGGGGUGUUUGGGAUCUGGGGGGGGCGGGCACUGCCGGGGCCUCUUCCGCUCUUGGCACCGGGGGUGUUCGCAGUAGCCACUGUUUCCCAAAGGGGGCCAGGUCUCCCCGAUUCCGGGACACUGUCCUUUUCAGACCCAGACUCUGCAGCUGCGUCCUCGGGUGCAGGGUGGGCCUGGAAACCUUUCUCUUUUUUCAUCUCCGCAGGUCCCUUUGACACGGAGCAAGGUUCCUCGGGGGGGGCUUGCGGACCCCCAGCCCGGCACCCUCGCUCUCGGGGCCUCCAGACUCAGAGGUGGCAGGGCGGCAACAGGCUGUGGCCCCAGACAGAGCCAGGCGGACCCAGCGCGGCCCCUUCCGCCAUGUGACGUGGGGCAGCCUCUCGCCGCUCCGUGUCCUCAGCUACCAGCUCACCCCUCAGGCUCACGGGGCUGGAAGCAUGGAGGACGCCCAUUAGACCCUGGCACUUCUGAAGACCCAAAGCCGGGCACCAGGUGCUGCAUGGUCCAGCCGGAGAGCGUCACGCGUGAAGUAGCUGCUAGGACGGGGCCCACACUCCACCGUGAGGGGCCAGGCAGGCAACAAAUUCUCUGUGGGAGUUCCUGUGUGACAGUCCUAUGGUCUGGAAAUACAGUUUUAUUUCUUCCUUUUCAA
Long non-coding RNA from Phyllostomus discolor (pale spear-nosed bat), 1289 nucleotides. RefSeq lists it as uncharacterized. The transcript has 2 exons. The record is from RefSeq and is a predicted model, not a curated record. NCBI's taxonomy places the organism in Eukaryota, Metazoa, Chordata, Mammalia, Chiroptera, Phyllostomidae.